RNAcentral lists this long non-coding RNA (243 nucleotides) under Ananas comosus (pineapple). RNAcentral describes it as "long non-coding RNA (ACOM_LNC034234)". The record is from RNAcentral. Lineage: Eukaryota; Viridiplantae; Streptophyta; Magnoliopsida; Poales; Bromeliaceae.
UUGAAUUUGAACUAAAGGCUAUUGGGUUUUCACAUGAGUCUACGUGUGAUGUAUGGAUUUGUUGGUGAGUGGACGGAUUUCGUCGCGAAUCCGUGAGCAAACGGGGUGAAACAAAAUUGUGGAUUUGAUGACUCUGUCGUGCUGAUCACACUGGUGUGAUCCGUUAGAAAAUUCGACGGACGGAUCGUUAGAUAUCACGCGUUUAUCGAGGAAAGGUCUAAUGGUUGAUUUCUGUAUUUCGCG